AUUGAACGCUGGCGGCAUGCCUUACACAUGCAAGUCGAACGGCAGCACGGGAGCUUGCUCCUGGUGGCGAGUGGCGAACGGGUGAGUAAUACAUCGGAACGUACCCUGAAGUGGGGGAUAACGUAGCGAAAGUUACGCUAAUACCGCAUAUUCUGUGAGCAGGAAAGAGGGGGAGUCGCAAGACCUCUUGCUUUAGGAGCGGCCGAUGUCGGAUUAGCUAGUUGGUGAGGUAAAGGCUCACCAAGGCGACGAUCCGUAGCGGGUCUGAGAGGAUGAUCCGCCACACUGGGA
Molecule: ribosomal RNA, 291 nt
Filed under: uncultured bacterium
Lineage: Bacteria
Description: partial 16S ribosomal RNA
Rfam family: Bacterial small subunit ribosomal RNA
Source: RNAcentral